This 90-nucleotide transfer RNA is filed under the name Galerina marginata CBS 339.88. It matches the Rfam family "tRNA". From Rfam's summary of the family: Transfer RNA (tRNA) molecules are approximately 80 nucleotides in length. Their secondary structure includes four short double-helical elements and three loops (D, anti-codon, and T loops). The record is from Rfam by way of RNAcentral. Lineage: Eukaryota; Fungi; Basidiomycota; Agaricomycetes; Agaricales; Galerinaceae.
CCUUCGAUAGCUCAGUCUGGUAGAGCGUGGGACUGUAAUAUGUUACAUUUGAAGAUCCCGAGGCCACUAGUUCGAUCCUGGUUCGAAGGA